This 460-nucleotide ribosomal RNA is filed under the name uncultured bacterium. RNAcentral describes it as "partial 16S ribosomal RNA". It matches the Rfam family "Bacterial small subunit ribosomal RNA", at positions 338 to 795 of the family's 1533-position model. The record is from RNAcentral.
CCUACGGGAGGCAGCAGUGAGGAAUAUUGGUCAAUGGACGAGAGUCUGAACCAGCCAAGUAGCGUGAAGGAUGACUGCCCUAUGGGUUGUAAACUUCUUUUAUAUGGGAAUAAAAUGUUCCACGUGUGGGAUUUUGUAUGUACCAUAUGAAUAAGGAUCGGCUAACUCCGUGCCAGCAGCCGCGGUAAUACGGAGGAUCCGAGCGUUAUCCGGAUUUAUUGGGUUUAAAGGGAGCGUAGGUGGAUUGUUAAGUCAGUUGUGAAAGUUUGCGGCUCAACCGUAAAAUUGCAGUUGAAACUGGCAGUCUUGAGUACAGUAGAGGGUGGCGGAAUUCGUGGUGUAGCGGUGAAAUGCUUAGAUAUCACGAAGAACUCCGAUUGCGAAGGCAGUUCACUGGACUGCAACUGACACUGAGGCUCGAAAGUGUGGGUAUCAAACAGGAUUAGAUACCCCUGUAGUC